CUAGAUGGACCUUUGGUCUGACCUGAUGUGGCCGUUCUUAUGUUCUAAGAGGGAUGAGUAAUGAGACUAGGAACUGGUAAAGGAAUGGGCGAUAUAGAAAACAGAGUGAGGGAGUUGAAGAACGAACCAGUUAGCAAGGAGGAAAGAAUGUCAGAAAUCAACACCUAAGAAAAUGGUGUGUCCAAAAGUUCCAGAGGCGCUAUUGAUGCUCACGCUGCAUUGCCCCCCACUGCUGUUGGGGAAAGGAGGAGUCUUUUGGCUGGACUUUAUCUCCCCCAGACUUGGAGGUGGGAGGGGGCCUCCCUGUGGGUCCAGGAUGGUUGUAGGGGGGAGGCCCAGCUGCAUUUCACCUCCUGCUACUGCUAAUAGUGCUUGCACCAAGAAAGGGAUAGGUGCACAAUAGUGAAAUAGUAUGUCAUUGUAUAAGCCAGUGGGAUGCUUCCAUUGCUCAGUUCUGGUCCCCCAUCUCAGAUGGGAUCUAGCAGAUAUAGUGAGGAGGCCUAGAGAAAGGCAGUGACACUACUUAGAGGCCUGGAGAGCAUGAAAAGAUUAGGACUUUUAGGUUAGAGAUGAGAUAGGGCAUACAUGGGAAACAAAAUAAUGAAUGGGAUAAAGAAAGGAGAUUGGGCACUUGCAUUAACCCUGGCUCAUAAUUCAAGAAAAGGGGACAUUCAGUGACAUUGAAAGGCAGCAGAUUUAAAACUAGUAAGAGGAAAUGCUUUUUCUUAUGUCAGUCUGUGGAACUCACUGCCACUGGAUACAAAGGCCAAGAGCUUAUCUGAUUUCAGAUAAGGAUCAGAUGUUGCUAUGGAUAAUAAGUGAUGAAUACGUUGAUAGAUGCUAUAACAUUCUCUAGCUCACAGAACCUCCCAACAGAUGUGUGUAGGCUGAAACAAGCACUUGCACUAUAACUGCACUCCAUGUAAAAGUAUUUACAUACCUACAGGGCAUGUAGUGCUUUCACACACUGCACUUAUAAUAGCUGUGUUGUCACAGGCUGGUGUGGAUGGAUGCGCAGGCGCAGAGGUGCCGACUCAUUUUAGAAUACAUUUUAGGUAAAGCUGGUGGUGAUACCUAGAGUUAAGGUUGCCUAGCAUACUUCCUAUUAUAAGAUCUUGUUUUCUGUGGCUUCUAACUUUGUCAAAUGUUAACCAUUUGGGCUGAAUUUCUCCAUGCCAGGUGUCUGCCUCAGCUGAAUUUUACUGGAAACUUACAGCAAAAAUGGUUUUUCUCAGGAGGAAAAAUUGGCUGUUUUCCCCAUAUUACAACAAAUUCUUGCAACUGAUUUGUUGAGAAGCUCUAGCACUUCCAUGUUUUGAAGCAGGAACUUGAAAUUUGAAAGGGGGUUUGCCUUGGGGAUAGAGAUGUACCUUUUACUUCCUUGUGGGAAAAACAGCCCACAUUUGGUCAAGGUACAAGCCUAUGAAAAAAAUCUGAGUCUGUGUAUGCCCAAUAGCCUUGUUAGAGCUUUGCAGCUAAAUUCUCUGAAGAUUUUGCUCCAACAGAGAUACUGGGGCUGAUAAGGACUUCUCUGCAAUUGCUGCUGCAGGCUCCAGCAGCACUGGCAUGAGAACUGACAGCUGGAGACUGUGUUCUGUGCCCUCAGUGCAACCGCUGCUGUGCCCAGGCAGCAUGGAGGAGGAGGAACACUGAAAUGCAGAGUGGACAAGAGCUGGAUGGGGAAAGACUGGGAUAAGAACAUGGAUGAGAGAGGAAGACAGUUUGGAAGCUGGGGAGAUAUUAGGACUGGUUGGGCAAGGGGACUGGGAUGCAGAUGGUAAUUUCAGAAGGGAGUCUGAGAUAGGCUCGAAGGAGACUGAACAUAGGAUGUAGGGGUAGAAUUGGGAAGAAGAUCCAGGGGAAGGAGAAGACAGAACAAGAAGUUUAGGGUGGAGACAAGGUUGGCAUAGGAUCAAGCUGGAGGUGGCAAAGGUAGAAGGGGUGUUGUAUUAAUUCAGAUGGAAUAAAUGAGCCAGAGGUGUUGAGAGAGUCCCUGUCCAAUAUUAAACUGUUACAACGAGGUUUGGGGUUUGGUAGACAGACACCACAGCUUGCGUAGUGCUGCAAACACACUAAUAAAGGGUUAACAUGAAUUUUCAUAAAGAUACAGAAAAGAAGGAAAAGCAAUUAAAGGCUUUGAAAUGUAAAGUAUUAAAUAAGGCCUCCAUUUAAACAACAUUUCUUGUUGACUUUCCCUUGAGCUGGAGAGAGAUUUUUAGAAGGAAACCCUCCCUUGUUUUACAGGCUGACAAAGACGUGAGUUGAGAUGUAGCUGCUACUGCUGUUAAAGUCCGAUCCCAUUUCGUGUCAGGUGGUGGCUGGAGUUAGCUGGAGCCAGUAGACGUGGCAAUGUUAUCUGAAUCUUGCUUUCUGGCCCAAUCUGGUCAGAUCAUCUCCUAGAAUUAGGACAAAGAAGAUCUGGAGUGAAAGGAGCCGUUGACACUGACAGCAAUGAUGGUGAAGUUGAUUCAGUCGCCUCCAUCUAUUUUUCUUCUUGCCCCCUCUCCCCACGAAUCUCUUUAAGACCCAAAAAAGGAGUAAUGGGUGGAUAGCCCAUCCCUUUAUUAUUUUGUCCACCAAUUAGGCCUAAUAGCCAAUACAGCCAUUUCGGGUCAUUAAUUUCUGGUUCCACAUCUGUUUUUACCAAGCAUGAUUUUAACAUAGUCCUUGAGUUGUAUCAACUUGACCUUUUUGUUUGCAUUAAUUUAAUGUCUCUGCCUGGUUUUCUUGCACCUGUUUAUAACAUUCAGAACUGAAAGCAACUUGACCUAUUUUCCAAUAACAUUUGUUCUUAUAGAUUAUUGUAUUUGAUAAAUGUUACAGACUUUUUAUAGUUGAGCUUACAAUUAGGAUACAUUUGUCAACCCAAUUAUUACAACAGGGGUCAGGCUUGGGACCAAAGGGGCAGAAGGGCCCGUGACUGUUGGAAUCACUUCCCCAUCAAAACCGGGAAUGGAGUCCAAGAUACCUGAGUCUCAAAAUUCUUCUGCUCUCAGCAAAUGUCUGUGAAAUGCAUAGGCAAGACUGAUAACAUACAAAAAUUCUAUAUUCAACAUUAUCCUACCCGAUAAAAAGGACCUAAUAACAGAAUUAAAAAUUAAUGGUGGCUUAAGUACAAAUGAUCGUGACUUGAUCCCAUUUCUAGUUGGCAAGCAGAACAAAGUCCAAGAGCAAUAAUAUAUUGGGGCUUUAAUAGGGCCAAUUUCACAAAGCUCAGAAUAAUUGAGCCAAAUCAGCUGUGAGGAAAAAUUUACUCAGAAAAAUGUCAAUGAUAAUUGGCAGUCAUUUAAGACCACAUUACUAGCUGCCCAAAAAGCCACAAUUGAGGAAGAAGGCUGUGCUGGUUUAAAAAUAAAUAAAUGCCGGUU
Non-coding RNA from Chelonoidis abingdonii (Abingdon island giant tortoise), 3368 nucleotides. Lineage: Eukaryota; Metazoa; Chordata; Testudines; Testudinidae. The record is from RefSeq and is a predicted model, not a curated record.